This 159-nucleotide ribosomal RNA is filed under the name Agrocybe deceptiva. RNAcentral's name for it is "Gastrocybe deceptiva 5.8S ribosomal RNA". It matches the Rfam family "5.8S ribosomal RNA". From Rfam's summary of the family: 5.8S ribosomal RNA (5.8S rRNA) is a component of the large subunit of the eukaryotic ribosome. It is transcribed by RNA polymerase I as part of the 45S precursor that also contains 18S and 28S rRNA. Lineage: Eukaryota; Fungi; Basidiomycota; Agaricomycetes; Agaricales; Agrocybaceae. The record is from RNAcentral.
ACAACUUUCAGCAACGGAUCUCUUGGCUCUCGCAUCGAUGAAGAACGCAGCGAAAUGCGAUAAGUAAUGUGAAUUGCAGAAUUCAGUGAAUCAUCGAAUCUUUGAACGCACCUUGCGCUCCUUGGUAUUCCGAGGAGCAUGCCUGUUUGAGUGCAUUAA